Long non-coding RNA from Malania oleifera, 355 nucleotides. RefSeq lists it as uncharacterized. Lineage: Eukaryota; Viridiplantae; Streptophyta; Magnoliopsida; Santalales; Ximeniaceae. The transcript has 2 exons. The record is from RefSeq and is a predicted model, not a curated record.
CCUUCACCAUCAUCAAAUUGUGAAUUAGUAAGACACUUUGUGUAAUAUCCACCAUGAAGGUUUUGUCUCCUGUCAUUGCGGUCAUACUAAUUCUCCUCUUCUCUUUUUCGGGCAAUCUGAUGGCCGCACAAAAGUAUUGUAAUGGCACACCGUACCAAAUGCCAUGCAGCGAAGCGGAAUGCAAAAAGCUCUGCACUGCCUAUACCUAUCGUGGAAAUUCCUUUUGUCUCGCUAAAUCUACUUGUUGUUGCAAUUAAUUAUUGUAUUGUAUUACUAGCUUGUUCCUUAAAUAAGAGACAAGCACGAGAAAUAAAUGCCUUUAUGAGUUAAAUUUUAUGGUUAAGUAAUGCGCUCC